RNAcentral lists this ribosomal RNA (448 nucleotides) under uncultured bacterium. Its description in RNAcentral is "bacterial SSU rRNA". It matches the Rfam family "Bacterial small subunit ribosomal RNA", at positions 355 to 825 of the family's 1533-position model. The record is from RNAcentral.
UCGGGAAUAUUGGACAAUGGGCGCAAGCCUGAUCCAGCCAUGCCGCGUGAGUGACGAAGGUCUUCGGAUUGUAAAGCUCUUUUUGGCGGGGACGAUAAUGACGGUACCCGCAGAAUAAGCCCCGGCUAACUUCGUGCCAGCAGCCGCGGUAAUACGAAGGGGGCUAGCGUUGUUCGGAAUUACUGGGCGUAAAGCGCACGUAGGCGGAUUUGUAAGUCAGGGGUGAAAGCCCGAGGCUCAACCUCGGAAUUGCCUCUGAUACUGGCUGUCUAGAGUUCGAGAGAGGUGAGUGGAAUUCCUAGUGUAGAGGUGAAAUUCGUAGAUAUUAGGAAGAACACCGGUGGCGAAGGCGGCUCACUGGCUCGAUACUGACACUGAGGUGCGAAAGCGUGGGGAGCAAACAGGAUUAGAUACCCCUGUAGUCCCUGAGCGGGCUGGCAAGGCGCAU